This 840-nucleotide ribosomal RNA is filed under the name uncultured archaeon. RNAcentral describes it as "bacterial SSU rRNA". It matches the Rfam family "Archaeal small subunit ribosomal RNA", at positions 66 to 883 of the family's 1478-position model. The record is from RNAcentral.
CUCUAAGCUAUGGUAGAGACGCAGCAAACGGCUCAGUAACACGUGGCUAACCCACCUUUAGGACGGGCACAACCCCGGGAAACUGGGGCUAAUGCUCGAUAGGCGAGGACGCCUGGAAUGACCCUUCGCCUAAAGGGUGCUGAAACCAUGCACACAGCAUCGCCUAAAGACGGGGCCGCGACCGAUCAGGCAGUUGGCGAGAUAAAGGCUCACCAAACCUAUAACCGGUACGGGCCGUGAGAGCGGGAGCCCGGAGAUGGGCACUGAGACAAGGGCCCAGGCCCUACGGGGCGCAGCAGUUACGAAACCUCCACAAUGCACGAAAGUGCGAUGGGGCUACCCCGAGUGCCGUCCGCUGAGGAUGGCUUUUCCUUAGCGUAAUGAACUAGGGGAAUAAGGAGAGGGCAAGACUGGUGUCAGCCGCCGCGGUAAUACCAGCUCUCCGAGUGGUAGGGAUGAUUAUUGGGCUUAAAGCGUCCGUAGCCGGCUCAACAAGUCCCCUGUUAAAUCCAACGACCCAAUCGCUGGACUGCAGGAGAUACUGCUGGGCUAGGGGACGGGAGAGGCCGACGGUAUUUCCGGGGGAGGGGUGAAAUCCUAUAAUCCCGGGAGGACCACCAGUGGCGAAGCUGUCGGCUAGAACGUGCUCGACGGUGAGGGACGAAAGCUGGGGGAGCGAACCGGAUUAGAUACCCGGGUAGUCCCAGCUGUAAACGAUGCGGGCUAGGUGUUGGGGUGGCUACGAGCCACUUCAGUGCCGCAGCGAAGGUAUUAAGCCCGCCGCCUGGGGAGUACGGCCGCAAGGCUGAAACUUAAAGGAAUUGGCGGGGGAGCACCACC